UGGGGAAUAUUGGACAAUGGGGGCAAGCCCUGAUCCCAGCCAUGCCGCGUGAGUGAUGAAGGCCUUCGGGUUGUAAAGCAUCUUUUGGUCGGGGAGCGAUGAUGACGGUACCCGCAGAAUAAGCCCCGGCUAACUUCGUGCCAGCAGCCGCGGUAAGACGAAGGGGGCUAGCGUUGUUCGGAAUUACUGGGCGUAAAGCGCGUGUAGGCGGUUAUCCAAGUCGGGUGUGAAAGCCUUGAGCUCAACUCAAGAAAUGCACUCGAUACUGGGUGACUUGAGGACCGGAGAGGAUAGUGGAAUUCCCAGUGUAGUGGUGAAAUACGUAGAGAUUGGGAAGAACACCAGUGGCGAAGGCGGCUAUCUUGGACGGUUUCUGACGCUAAGACGCGAAAGCGUGGGGAGCAAAACA
RNAcentral lists this ribosomal RNA (409 nucleotides) under uncultured Alphaproteobacteria bacterium. RNAcentral describes it as "bacterial SSU rRNA". It matches the Rfam family "Bacterial small subunit ribosomal RNA", at positions 355 to 775 of the family's 1533-position model. Lineage: Bacteria; Pseudomonadati; Pseudomonadota; Alphaproteobacteria. The record is from RNAcentral.